Molecule: transfer RNA, 72 nt
Filed under: Camelus bactrianus (Bactrian camel)
Lineage: Eukaryota; Metazoa; Chordata; Mammalia; Artiodactyla; Camelidae
Also listed under: 2 other names
Rfam family: tRNA
About the family: Transfer RNA (tRNA) molecules are approximately 80 nucleotides in length.
Source: Rfam by way of RNAcentral
AGGGAAAUAGCUCAGUGGUAGAGCACAUGCUUAGCAUGCAGGAGAUCCUGGGUUCAAUCCCCAGUGCCUCCA